Long non-coding RNA from Ruditapes philippinarum (Manila clam), 196 nucleotides. RefSeq lists it as uncharacterized. The record is from RefSeq and is a predicted model, not a curated record. The transcript is spliced from 2 exons. Lineage: Eukaryota; Metazoa; Mollusca; Bivalvia; Venerida; Veneridae.
GACGGAACGAGGCACGGGAUAUGAUGCUGGCACAAGCCUUAUUAUAUAAUAACGUCAACGUGUACAGGAAAUGACGUAAAAGACGUAACGUCAGUAGCAUCAGCUCCAUGGUGGUCACGUCGCCGCUUCCACUAUAAGUGCAGCCUGUCAUUACGAAAUAAGGCACGAAGUGGACGGAACGAGGCUCGGGAUAUGA